CUGUCGUCAGCUCGUGUUGUGAAAUGUUGGGUUAAGUCCCGCAACGAGCGCAACCCUUAUCCUUUGUUGCCAGCGGUCCGGCCGGGAACUCAAAGGAGACUGCCAGUGAUAAACUGGAGGAAGGUGGGGAUGACGUCAAGUCAUCAUGGCCCUUACGACCAGGGCUACACACGUGCUACAAUGGCGCAUACAAAGAGAAGCGACCUCGCGAGAGCAAGCGGACCUCAUAAAGUGCGUCGUAGUCCGGAUUGGAGUCUGCAACUCGACUCCAUGAAGUCGGAAUCGCUAGUAAUCGUGGAUCAGAAUGCCACGGUGAAUACGUUCCCGGGCCUUGUACACACCGCCCGUCACACCAUGGGAGUGGGUUGCAAAAGAAGUAGGUAGCUUAACCUUCGGGAGGGCGCUUACCACUUUGUGAUUCAUGACUGGGGUGAAGUCGUAACAAGGUAACCGUAGGGGAACCUGCGGUUGGAUCAC
This 477-nucleotide ribosomal RNA is filed under the name Escherichia coli. RNAcentral's name for it is "bacterial SSU rRNA". It matches the Rfam family "Bacterial small subunit ribosomal RNA", at positions 1049 to 1526 of the family's 1533-position model. Lineage: Bacteria; Pseudomonadati; Pseudomonadota; Gammaproteobacteria; Enterobacterales; Enterobacteriaceae. RNAcentral also lists the same sequence under 2 other names. The record is from RNAcentral.